This 504-nucleotide ribosomal RNA is filed under the name uncultured bacterium. RNAcentral's name for it is "bacterial SSU rRNA". It matches the Rfam family "Bacterial small subunit ribosomal RNA", at positions 28 to 490 of the family's 1533-position model. The record is from RNAcentral.
GACGAACGCUGGCGGCGUGCCUAAUACAUGCAAGUCGAACGCACUCUCGUUUAGAUUGAAGGAGCUUGCUCCUGAUUGAUAAACAUUUGAGUGAGUGGCGGACGGGUGAGUAACACGUGGGUAACCUGCCCUAAAGUGGGGGAUAACAUUUGGAAACAGAUGCUAAUACCGCAUAAAACCUAAACACCGCAUGGUGUAGGGUUGAAAGAUGGUUUCGGCUAUCACUUUAGGAUGGACCCGCGGUGCAUUAGUUAGUUGGUGAGGUAAAGGUUCACCAAGACCGUGAUGCAUAGCCGACCUGAGAGGGUAAUCGGCCACACUGGGACUGAGACACGGCCCAGACUCCUACGGGAGGCAGCAGUAGGGAAUCUUCCACAAUGGACGAAAGUCUGAUGGAGCAACGCCGCGUGAGUGAAGAAGGUUUUCGGAUCGUAAAACUCUGUUGUUGGAGAAGAAUGUAUCUGAUAGUAACUGAUCAGGUAGUGACGGUAUCCAACCAGAACG